UCCUGAACUGCCGCACUCCUGUGCUUGUUCUUCCCGGAGCUCUCGAGGUGUUGCUCACACGCCGCCUCUGCAGGGUAGGAAGUGCCUUUGCUCCUGAGGCCAGGGAAGGAGAAACAGCAGUCUGAGGUGAAUUGACUUCAGAAACUUAAGGACAAACCUGUUGUCAUAUUCCUAAUUCAGCAGGGCCUAACCAUGACCAGCAAGGUGAGGAGCAGUUCACACACCCCCUGGCAGAGCCCCAUCAGCGUGUGCUGCAUGAGCUUCCUGCUGAGGGUGAACCUCAGCAAGAGCUCCCCUUCAGAAUUUGGAAAUUCAACAGUGCAGAUGAAAGUAUCAACGUUUAUGUCUGUCUUUAGUUUUUGCAUUUCAGUAGUUCAGAUUUCACUGCAAAUUCUUUGAGAUCAUCAGCACAUGGAAGAUUAGAAUCAGUAUUUUAGUAUCAUAAUGAAGAGUAAUUAAGGCCUUUCCUAGAUACCAGAAGGCAAUCUACCAGAAGGAAAGCUCUUUUCUUUCUUUCCAAGUCUCAUCUGGUGCUAUCAAGAUUAAAUGAAGCGCAACUCAUGGUUAAUGAAGUUUUUACUCUUCUACUAAAAUAAAAUUUAGUCUCUUAAAAUACUUCCCUUUUGCCUUUCAUACACAAUUUCUGUCCAUACUUUGUCUAUUUUAGUGGAGUCAUAUGCCAUAUUUAGCCCAGACAAACGUUUUUAGAGUUUAUUAAUUUCAAAACAUUGUCAAGUAGACACACUAGUAUGUUUUCUCUAUAUACUGUCAGCCUGAUUCACGUGCCUGUAAGUUCAUCUAACACUCUUUCCACUGUUGCACAGAAAACAAAUGACCUUUCAGGGAAAUACCUAUCAAUGUUUCAAUCACUGCUGCUGCUUUUCAGUUAGUAUUAUUAAAAAUCUCAAACUUUAUUCUCUUAGAAGUGCAGAACAGCUGCAUUUUAGUCAUUUUAGAUGCUGGAGUUCAGUUGAAGAGGGUGAUGUGUAGCAGUAGGCACUACAGUGAUUAAUGAGAUUUCGGUAGCUUUUCCAUAGCUUCCUGCCUAGAGCAAAAAACAAAACAAAACAGAAAAUCAACAAACAAACAAAAAAACCAACCCCAAACCCAUAACGGCAGAUUAGUUGUGUGCCUUUCACUGCUUCUUGUAAAAUGUUAAUGGACUCCUAAAGGUUGCAUUUUUGAAUGAGAACCAUUUCAGCAAGAAUUUUAGCAGAUGCAGAGGACAUACAAGGAACUUUUGAAAAUUCCUUAUGUUCUACUUUAUAAAGUCUAUUAGGCACAUUUGGCACAAGCUGGGAAUCUGACACUGAUUUCCAAGCAUUUAAACGGUCCAAAUAAAAUGCCAUUUCUGUAAUACUUUUAUAUUUUCCUUUUUUUCAAGUGUAUAUAAAGUACACAUCUGAAUAAACAAUAUUGUACUCCUUUAUUUUAGAUGUAGGUAGCAGUCACAAGAGAUUAAAUGCUGCUAUGUGUAACGAAGCAUGAAGAUGACAAGAUAUAUGAACCAGAGGCUUUUCAGCUCAAUCACAUCAUCCAGCACAUAAUUAUACAGAUUUUGUAUUUCAGACAGCAAUGUCACCUUAGGGUUGAAAUCAUUCUAGAUGAAUCGGUGUAAGUAUAAAUAAGAUAGUUCCCCACACCCCAGUUACUUUCCUACUUUAAAAAUAGAAAGGAAAAUGAGUCGUCCUGAGUUUAAGGAUGAGUUAUUUGUGUGUGGUAUUUGUGAUGGAAAAUUCUUUCUAAAAUAAACACAGUAAUAAUUAAUGGUCUUCUUUUUUCCUCUCAUAUUUUAAGGCAACAGCCUGCUUCUAGUGCCAGAGUACUAGACUAGAUAUAUCCUGGUCUCUUUUAGUACUUGACUAAUACAUACAGCACUAUCUAUUAGAGUCAUUAGUUGUAUCAAGCAAAAUAUUUUUCUGUAGUUUUUCUAUUAAAUUUCUUUAAAGCCACAUGCAGAAUGUUACCUCCCAUGCUGUACUUUAGUUCCAGCGACUCUAAUAUGGAUGAUACCCUGAUGGGCUUUUGAAAUCCUGAAAAACAUGAAUGUGACAGGGAGCCUAGAUGGGACUUUAAAAAAUACUACAAAUCAUUUAACUACUAUGACAAAAUUUUUAUAAAUGCUGAAUAAAGGUGAAAAUUAAUAAAUGUAUCAGCCUCUAUUAAUUUAGUUCCUUCUCUUCAUUACAGAAAGAUGCUAUUGAUCCAAAAUUUAUUAGCAGUGUUCUGCUAGAGCCAGCGGAGGGCAGACUUGAACUGGAAACUCUUUUUGCUACUGUAGUUACUUGAAGUUAAAAUACCAGAUAUAUCAUGUCUUGAGCUCAAAGUCUCAUCACUUCUCUACUAUUCUAAUUACACUUGUGCUGGAUAAAAGCCUCUUUGCAAUUGCUGUUUGACAAAAUGAGUGUUUUGCAAAUGUUUAAAUAAAGAUGCUAAUAUGAAAGUGAAUAAGUCAGUGUGUUAGCAGCUGUGUGUUACUCAUCAGGGAUAAUCCACACUGCUUAAUCCUUAACCAUGUAUAUCUUGAAAUGUUUGUUAAAAGCUAGUGAAUAUAAUUAUCUCCAUUUUACAGAUGAAGAAACUGAGGAAUAGAGUGGUAACCUUGCAGAUUACCCAUCUGGGUGACCUACAGAAACAAGAAUGAAGUCCAGUUUUUUGAGAUCUAAUCCAGUGCUUUGCAACAUAAACUAUUUUAACUCUUGCAAACAUUAUGGAAAUUUUUGCUAGCAGCCCAAAUUGUGGAUCUUUCACUGAGGAGCUUACACUGAUGAAAUAGCAGGCAACCUGACAGUGAGGUUGUAGAUCUUAAGAAGAAUAUUCUUCCCAAGAAGAUGGGUGGCAGUCAGAUCAAAGGCCUAAAGAUCCACUUUAAAGUAGCAUUUUAUUAUUAAAACAAGUACUUCACAUUUUUAGGCAUAUUUGUUAUUCAUUAGGUUAGGUUGGAGUCUUUCUGAAAGCCUUUAUGAUAGUCUGUGUCUGACUCUUGUUGUGUAUAAUGUGUUGUGGCUUCACACAUUUUUAAGUGCUGUGUGAAGGUCUGUAAGAAUAUAUUAUAAAACAGGCCACUUGAAGCUUCUUGGUCAUUUCUCCUUGUACCUUGUGCAAUUGUACCUCAUGCAAUUGUACCUCACAAAGAGUUGUCACCUCCAAAUUGUCAUCACUUUCCAUAACUCACAGAGGCCUGAAAAUGCAAUUAUCUCAAAGGGGAAAAGAUUCAUUUACUCUUCUGCAGAACAUAAACUCUCCUUGAAAUAACCACUAAUUGAAGGCAUUUGUACACAGGCUCAUUUUAUAGUAAACCACUGGAUGCCUCAGGUCAAGAAGCAGCAAGAAAGAUAACAAUUCAAUUAAUGAAAACUGCUGCUUUGAGAAAUGUGGUUUCCAGUCUCAAAGUUAUUUUAUUUAUCCCUAAUUAUACAUUGCUGAAAACUGUUAACCAUUAUUAGGGGCAGAUAAGUCUGAGGUUUGGGGAUAUGGCCUGGCUUUGCCUGUUGUAAGCUUCACAGGUUUACACAUCCACCUCCAUAACAAUCUUUCCUUUCACUAAUCCUGGUGGGUGUGCAUUUUUUUUGUACCAAACUUUCCCUUUUAUUUGUAAAUAUGUGUGAAAUGUUCAAAACAUUAGUGAUUUAAGAGCAGUUAAGGUAUUACUUCCUCAGAAACACAUCAUUGUUACAUACAGUUGUGUUUGUUGUGCUGAGCAGGCCCAGCUGAGUUACAGAUAAGGCAAAAUAACUGUAUUAGAGCAGGUUGGCCAAAGGCUUGUCCCUGUAUUUCUUUACAUGGAAAAUAAAGGAUAGAUGUAUGUACUGUCUGAAUAGAGAGCAUGAUGAUGUUGUGUGCCUGUGCCAAAAUUAAUACAAUAGUAUUUUAUUGGAAAAAUAAACUUAGUUCUGGAUUUAAAAAAUUGUAAUAUGCCAUGUAUAAAAUACAUAUUUGAUCAAGAUCAGUUCUGGUAAUGUUCCUUCAGAGGUGAGGGUUUAUAAUGACUAGGAAAAGAUACUUCUACAUCUAUGGAAGUUUAAGCCUGCUGCUGUCAAGUGGCCAGGACCCUUAAAUGUGUGUUGAAGUGUCCUACUCUUAGUAAAUCAGAAAUGUUUAUACUUGCUGUCUCAAGUAGUAGAAAGAACACUAGCAACUUCUUCCAUGUUUAGAAUUCUGUGGAGUCUGCUACCUGUGAGCAGACUCCACUUAAAUAAAGUCUCUGGAACUACUAA
Molecule: non-coding RNA, 4217 nt
Organism: Zonotrichia albicollis (white-throated sparrow)
Lineage: Eukaryota; Metazoa; Chordata; Aves; Passeriformes; Passerellidae
Source: RefSeq, a predicted model, not a curated record